AUUGAACGCUGGCGGCAUGCUUUACACAUGCAAGUCGAACGGCAGCGCGGGCUUCGGCCUGGCGGCGCGUGGCGAACGGGUGAGUAAUACAUCUGAACGUGCCCAGUAGUGGGGGAUAGCUCGGCGAAAGCCGGAUUAAUACCGCAUACGACCUGAGGGUGAAAGCGGGGGAUCUUCGGACCUCGCGCUAUUGGAGCGGCCGAUGGCAGAUUAGCUAGUUGGUGGGGUAAAGGCCUACCAAGGCGACGAUCUGUAGCUGGUCUGAGAGGACGACAGGCCACACUGGGACUGAGACACGGCCCAGACUCCUACGGGAGGCAGCAGUGGGGAAUUUUGGACAAUGGGCGAAAGCCUGAUCCAGCAAUGGCGCGUGUGUGAUGAAGGCCUUCGGGUUGUAAAGCACUUUUGGCGGGAACGAAAAGGACUGUGCCAAUACCACGGUUCGAUGACGGUACCCGCAGAAUAAGCACCGGCUAACUACGUG
RNAcentral lists this ribosomal RNA (484 nucleotides) under uncultured bacterium. Its description in RNAcentral is "partial 16S ribosomal RNA". It matches the Rfam family "Bacterial small subunit ribosomal RNA", at positions 29 to 507 of the family's 1533-position model. The record is from RNAcentral.